AAUGAACGUUGGCGGCGUGGAUUAGGCAUGCAAGUCGCGCGAGAAAUUUCCUUCGGGAAAUGGACAGCGGCGGAAGGGAGAGGAAUAAGUAGAAAUCUGCCCUCGGGACGGGGAUAGCGGUGGGAAACUGCCGGUAAUACCCGAUAACAUCUUUGGAUCAAAUGGUGUGAUUCCGCUUGAGGAUGAGUCUACUUCCUAUUAGCUAGUUGGUGGGGUAAUGGCCUACCAAGGCAACGAUGGGUAGCGGGUGUGAGAGCACGACCCGCCUCACUGGGACUGAGACACUGCCCAGACACCUACGGGUGGCUGCAGUCGAGAAUCUUCGGCAAUGGGGGAAACCCUGACCGAGCGACGCCGCGUGCGGGAUGAAGGCCCUUGGGUUGUAAACCGCUGUCGUAAGGGAACAAAUCCAUAGGGGUACUCCCCUAUGGUUGAGUGAUCUUAGGAGGAAGGACGGGCUAAGUUCGUG
This 469-nucleotide ribosomal RNA is filed under the name uncultured bacterium. Its description in RNAcentral is "bacterial SSU rRNA". It matches the Rfam family "Bacterial small subunit ribosomal RNA", at positions 29 to 507 of the family's 1533-position model. The record is from RNAcentral.